UGCUAGCUUCGGCAGCAAUGUACAAAAAUUGGGACGAUACAGAGGUUAGUGUGGCCCCUGUGCAAGGACGACAUGCAAAUUUGUGAAGCGUUCCACGUUUUU
Aethalodelphis obliquidens (Pacific white-sided dolphin) is the source of this 102-nucleotide small nuclear RNA. NCBI's taxonomy places the organism in Eukaryota, Metazoa, Chordata, Mammalia, Artiodactyla, Delphinidae. The record is from RefSeq and is a predicted model, not a curated record.